This 291-nucleotide unclassified non-coding RNA is filed under the name uncultured fungus. RNAcentral's name for it is "sequence contains ITS1, 5.8S rRNA gene". The stretch from base 243 to 291 matches the Rfam family "5.8S ribosomal RNA", at positions 1 to 49 of the family's 154-position model. Lineage: Eukaryota; Fungi. The record is from RNAcentral.
UCUUCGUAGGUGAACCUGCGGAGGGAUCAUUGAUGAACUUAAUAACUUCUUCGCUGGUGCGCUUAGACGUGCUGCGAGAUGUUCAUCCCACACACACUGUGCACCCCUUUUUUUCCUGCUGAUGCAACGGCGAAACCGGGCUUUCGGGCUUGUGGACUAGCUGGCGCGUUGGCGGCGAAGCGCUUGUGAAUGUAAACAGUCAUGGAGUUAUAAUUGUUUCCUUUAUUGGAAUACGUCUUAACAACUAUUAACGGUGGACCUCUUGGCUCUCGCAUCGAUGAAGAACGCAGC